AGAGUUUGAUCCUGGCUCAGGACGAACGCUGGCGGCGUGCCUAACAUAUGCAAGUCGAGCGAAUGAAGUUCCUUCGGGAACGGAUUUAGCGGCGGACGGGUGAGUAACACGUGAGCAACCUGCCUAUCACAUCGGGAUAGCCUCGGGGAACUGGGAUUAAUACCGAAUGAAACAUAUUGAUAACCUUAUCGAAAUGUCAAAGAUUUAUCGGUGAUAGAUGGGCUCGCGUCUGAUUAGCUAGUUGGUGAGAUAAAAGCCCACCAAGGCAAUGAUCAGUAGCCGGCCUGAGAGGGUGGUCGGUCACAUUGGGACUGAGAUACGGCCCAGACUCCUACGGGAGGCAGCAGUGGGGAAUAUUGCACAAUGAACGGAAGUUUGAUGCAGCGACGCCGUGUGAGGGAUGAAGGCCUUUGGGUUGUAAACCUUUUUCGCUUUUGACCAAGGCACAGGUUUGGCCUGUGUUGAGGGUAGGGGGUAAAUGAAGCUCCGGCUAACUACGUGCCAGCAGCCGCGGUAAUACGUAGGGAGCGAGCGUUGUCCGGAUUUAUUGGGCGUAAAGGGCUUGUAGGUGGUGUGUCGCGUCUGUCGUGAAAUUCCAUGGCUUAACUGUGGGAGUGCGGUGGGUACGGGCAUGCUUGAGUGCGGUAGGGGAGACUGGAAUUCUUGGUGUAGCGGUGGAAUGCGCAGAUAUCAGGAGGAACACCGGUGGCGAAGGCGGGUCUCUGGGCCGUUACUGACGCUGAGGAGCGAAAGCGUGGGGAGCGAACAGGAUUAGAUACCCUGGUAGUCCACGCUGUAAACGUUGGACACUAGAUGUGGUGGUUCCACUGUUUUGUGGGGUUGCUGUGUCGUAGUUAACGCAUUAAGUGUCCCGCCUGGGGAGUACGGCCGCAAGGCUAAAACUCAAAGGAAUUGACGGGGGCCCGCACAAGCGGCGGAGCAUGCGGAUUAAUUCGAGGCAACGCGAAGAACCUUACCAAGGCUUGACAUACACCUGGAGCGCGCGGAAACGUGUGUGACUUUGAUACAGGUUGUACAGGUGGUGCAUGGUUGUCGUCAGCUCGUGUCGUGAGAUGUUGGGUUAAGUCCCGUAACGAGCGCAACCCUUGUCUUAUGUUGCCAGCA
Molecule: ribosomal RNA, 1125 nt
Filed under: uncultured bacterium
Lineage: Bacteria
Description: bacterial SSU rRNA
Rfam family: Bacterial small subunit ribosomal RNA
Source: RNAcentral